GGUUGAAGGUUGGGUAACACUAACUGGAGGACCGAACCGACUAAUGUUGAAAAAUUAGCGGAUGACCUGUGGCUGGGGGUGAAAGGCCAAUCAAACCGGGAGAUAGCUGGUUCUCCCCGAAAGCUAUUUAGGUAGCGCCUCGUGAAUUCAUCUCCGGGGGUAGAGCACUGUUUCGGCUAGGGGGCCAUCCCGGCUUACCAACCCGAUGCAAACUGCGAAUACCGGAGAAUGUUAUCACGGGAGACACACGGCGGGUGCUAACGUCCGUCGUGAAGAGGGAAACAACCCAGACCGCCAGCUAAGGUCCCAAAGUCAUGGUUAAGUGGGAAACGAUGUGGGAAGGCCCAGACAGCCAGGAUGUUGGCUUAGAAGCAGCCAUCAUUUAAAGAAAGCGUAAUAGCUCACUGGUCGAGUCGGCCUGCGCGGAAGAUGUAACGGGGCUAAACCAUGCACCGAAGCUGCGGCAGCGAACGUAUCACCCAAGACAACUUUACGGAGUUGACGAUUGACGGAGCGAAGCGACGUCAAAGCGUUCAUUAAAGUCGAGUUGGCUUAGGGAUACGUUCGUUGGGUAGGGGAGCGUUCUGUAAGCCUGUGAAGGUGUGUCGUGAGGCAUGCUGGAGGUAUCAGAAGUGCGAAUGCUGACAUAAGUAACGAUAAAGCGGGUGAAAAGCCCGCUCGCCGGAAGACCAAGGGUUCCUGUCCAACGUUAAUCGGGGCAGGGUGAGUCGACCCCUAAGGCGAGGCCGAAAGGCGUAGUCGAUGGGAAACGGGUUAAUAUUCCCGUACUUGGUGUUACUGCGAAGGGGGGACGGAGAAGGCUAUGUUGGCCGGGCGACGGUUGUCCCGGUUUAAGCGUGUAGGUGUGUGUUCCAGGUAAAUCCGGUUCACUUUAACACUGAGGCGUGACGACGAGGCACUACGGUGCUGAAGCAACAAAUGCCCUGCUUCCAGGAAAAGCCUCUAAGCAUCAGGUAACACGAAAUCGUACCCCAAACCGACACAGGUGGUCAGGUAGAGAAUACCAAGGCGCUUGAGAGAACUCGGGUGAAGGAACUAGGCAAAAUGGUGCCGUAACUUCGGGAGAAGGCACGCUGACACGUAGGUGAAGUGAUUUACUCAUGGAGCUGAAGUCAGUCGAAGAUACCAGCUGGCUGCAACUGUUUAUUAAAAACACAGCACUGUGCAAACACGAAAGUGGACGUAUACGGUGUGACGCCUGCCCGGUGCCGGAAGGUUAAUUGAUGGGGUCAGCG
RNAcentral lists this ribosomal RNA (1256 nucleotides) under Salmonella enterica. RNAcentral describes it as "partial 23S ribosomal RNA". It matches the Rfam family "Bacterial large subunit ribosomal RNA", at positions 743 to 1895 of the family's 2925-position model. The record is from RNAcentral. Lineage: Bacteria; Pseudomonadati; Pseudomonadota; Gammaproteobacteria; Enterobacterales; Enterobacteriaceae.